UAGGGAAUAUUGCAAAAUGGGCGAAAGCCCGAUGCAGCAACGCCGCGUGGGCGAUGAAGGCCUUCGGGUCGUAAAGCCCUUUUUGAGGGGAUGAGGAAGGACAGUACCCUCAGAAUAAGCCUCGGCUAACUACGUGCCAGCAGCCGCGGUAAAACGUAGGAGGCGAGCGUUAUCCGGAUUUACUGGGCGUAAAGCGCGUGCAGGCGGAUUGGAGAGUUGGAUGUGAAAGCUCCCGGCUUAACUGGGGGAGGUCGUUCAAUACUUCCAGUCUUGAGUGCAGUAGAGGGAAGUGGAAUUCCUGGUGUAGUGGUGAAAUGCGUAGAUAUCCGGAGGAACACCAGUGUCGAAAGCGGCUUCCUGGACUGUAACUAACGCUCAGACGCGAAAGCUAGGGUAG
Molecule: ribosomal RNA, 397 nt
Filed under: uncultured bacterium
Lineage: Bacteria
Description: bacterial SSU rRNA
Rfam family: Bacterial small subunit ribosomal RNA
Source: RNAcentral